GUUUACUAGGGAAUGCAUGUCUACGGACAAGACAUUUUUUCACUUUAUUUGUAUAUCCAACUUUGAUGGCAUAUAUCUCCAGCUAGGGUACUGCAAUUUUGAUAAAUGAGGUAGUUUUUGAUAAUGUAUAUACUAAAAGAGAAAACAAAACACAUAAUAGCAUAAAUUUGAUUUAUUUUUCUCUUUUAUCACUACACUGAGCAAGCUAAAAACAAAAGUACAAAAUUUCAUAACGAGCGC
RNAcentral lists this long non-coding RNA (240 nucleotides) under Mytilus galloprovincialis (Mediterranean mussel). Lineage: Eukaryota; Metazoa; Mollusca; Bivalvia; Mytilida; Mytilidae. The record is from RNAcentral.